Non-coding RNA from Parelaphostrongylus tenuis, 73 nucleotides. The record is from the annotation of a GenBank genome assembly. NCBI's taxonomy places the organism in Eukaryota, Metazoa, Nematoda, Chromadorea, Rhabditida, Metastrongylidae.
GUCUCGGUGGUGUAAUGAUAGAGCACGCGUCCCUGGAUAGGGAGAAACGCGGGUUCCAUCACCGCCUGAGGCG